Molecule: long non-coding RNA, 1358 nt
Filed under: Capra hircus (goat)
Lineage: Eukaryota; Metazoa; Chordata; Mammalia; Artiodactyla; Bovidae
Description: lncRNA (ENSCHIG00000005953.1)
Source: RNAcentral
AAUAAACUUAACUUACUUUCCUUGCAGGCCCUCCUGUUGCUGUGCACAGUGGGGAAAGACCAGUCACACCAUCAGUCUUCCCAGAAACAACAGCAAGGCCACCAUGAGUAACCCGGCCAUGGGCCAGAGGGGCAGGAAGCCUUUUGCAUUCCACUGUGUUUUCCCACACAGCAGCACACCAGUCCCUUGAUAAUCACUAACUAGGAAGUUCAGCAGAAGAGUAGAAGGUGAUUUCUGCAAAGGAGCAAACAACCCCCAGGGGUUUGCAGCAGGAAGGAAUCUCAGACCCAGAGAAGAUCACAGCAGGGCAGGAGCCGACCCAUUUCCACAAACAAACCCACAGAGGCAUUUGGUGGUUGCUCUUUGCUGCCAUGCUGGGGCACGUAACUAAGAGGCACGGGCUGUUUGAUGACAGUGUCAAUAUAUGAUGCCCCAGUGGUGAUCUGGCGGGAAGAAUUUCUGUCUAAAAUGCUGAGGUCUUCUGCACUGGGAUGCUUUCUCAAAGCGUUCUUCUGGGCAGAGGUCAUCAUAGAUGUUCACCUCAGUGGGGAAAAAAGUGUCUGGAGAAGAGGCUUCUAUGAUGCCCCAUGAAGGUACUUCCCUCCACACCGUGUCCAUAGGAAACCAUCCACCAGAGGCUGAGGGAAGACCAGCAAAGGUGCUGCCCCUACGGUGGAUCCUGCCGGCCUGUGACAACCAACCCCACCCUGCAGAGAUGGUGGUGAGUGGCUCGGUUGCUUGGACCACUGAGACACAGCGCUCACCUGGACCACUCCCAGGGGACGUCCACCAGCGAUGUGGGAACGCCCCGAGAGCCUUCUAGAGAGGCCGUAAAGGGAGCCACGGAAGCCUGCUGACAACCAGCAGCUGCCUGCCUGGAGAGUGAGCGAGCUUCUCUGACGUGGCCCUUCUGCCCGCGGUCCAGCCCUCACAGUGGGGUAGCCUGAGCCGACAUCUGACAUCUGAGGACCCUGUGCUGGAACGGUCCGGGGUAGGUUGCUUCUCAGCUCCCAACGCCCAGCACCAGAUUACUGUCAUCAGCUCUAAGCUCUGGGGUUAACUUGUGAAGUGAGAGGUAACAGUAACUGCCGCUCUGGGGGGCACUUGGUAACCCAGCUGAUGACUGAGGUUGGCUCCUUCAGGGUCCCUUCCUGAUGCAGGAAGUACCUAAAUGUCCUUUAGGAAUCAUUUAUUUAGGGACUCCCCUGGUGGCUGAGACUCUGCAUUUCCAAGCUAGGGGGCCCAGGUUCAAUCCCUGGUCAGGGAACUGGCUCCCACAUGCUGCUAAGACUCGGCACAGCCAAAUAAACAAAACUCAAUAUUUAAAAAAUUGUUUAUUUCCACCAUCUCAAAAGGGC